Molecule: ribosomal RNA, 429 nt
Filed under: Chloroflexota bacterium
Lineage: Bacteria; Bacillati; Chloroflexota
Description: Chloroflexi bacterium partial 16S ribosomal RNA
Rfam family: Bacterial small subunit ribosomal RNA
Source: RNAcentral
UGGGGAAUAUUGCACAAUGGGCGCAAGCCUGAUGCAGCCAUGCCGCGUGUAUGAAGAAGGCCUUCGGGUUGUAAAGCACUUUCAGCGGGGAGGAAGGCGUUAAGGUUAAUAACCUUGGCGAUUGACGUUACCCGCAGAAGAAGCACCGGCUAACUCCGUGCCAGCAGCCGCGGUAAUACGGAGGGUGCAAGCGUUAAUCGGAAUUACUGGGCGUAAAGCGCACGCAGGCGGUUUGUUAAGUCAGAUGUGAAAUCCCCGGGCUCAACCUGGGAACUGCAUCUGAUACUGGCAAGCUUGAGUCUCGUAGAGGGGGGUAGAAUUCCAGGUGUAGCGGUGAAAUGCGUAGAGAUCUGGAGGAAUACCGGUGGCGAAGGCGGCCCCCUGGACAAAGACUGACGCUCAGGUGCGAAAGCGUGGGGAGCAAACAGG